Molecule: long non-coding RNA, 435 nt
Organism: Cygnus atratus (black swan)
Lineage: Eukaryota; Metazoa; Chordata; Aves; Anseriformes; Anatidae
Exons: 2
Source: RefSeq, a predicted model, not a curated record
GCAGUGCCCAGAUGACGCGGGGCUGGAGGCUCGCAGGCAGGACCUGAGUUGUAGGGGAAGUAAAGGAGCCACCCUUCACCCGCACCCUCUCGCUGGGAGCCCCUUGCUCUGAACCCAUGCUCCCUCUGAGGAAAGACCAAUUCUGCUGGCACCCCGUGUCUGGGCUUUGGAAGGCAUGGCAGAGCAGCUGGAUCUGAAAGCACCAUCCCCAUAGGUAGAAAUCCUCCUCUACACCACGCGCCUUGCAAGGAAGGCAACGAGGGGACACGUGGAGAGCCCAAACGUCUGGCAUCGAGGAGCAGAGAUCCACCUCGCACUGCCCUGAAGGAAAGUUUGUUCCCAAACUGAUUACGCUGUGGCGUUCGGUGCUGGUGUCAAAUCGGUUCAAGCCAUCCCAAGUGUAAAAUAAAGAUCUCCGCUUGGGUACGCCCAUCA